This 403-nucleotide ribosomal RNA is filed under the name uncultured bacterium. Its description in RNAcentral is "bacterial SSU rRNA". It matches the Rfam family "Bacterial small subunit ribosomal RNA", at positions 355 to 774 of the family's 1533-position model. The record is from RNAcentral.
UGAGGAAUAUUGCACAAUGGGCGAAAGCCUGAUGCAGCAACGCCGCGUGAGGGACGAAGGCCUUCGGGUCGUAAACCUCUUUUCUGGGGAAAGAGACAGGACGGUACCUCAGGAAUAAGUCUCGGCUAACUACGUGCCAGCAGCCGCGGUAAAACGUAGGAGGCGAGCGUUAUCCGGAUUUACUGGGCGUAAAGCGCACGCAGGCGGUUCCGUUAGUCGGACGUGAAAGCUCCUGGCUUAACUGGGAGAGGCCGUUCGAUACUGCGGGACUUGAGGUUGGAAGAGGGGUAUGGAAUUCCCGGUGUAGUGGUGGAAUGCGUAGAUAUCGGGAGGAACACCUGUGGCGAAAGCGGCACCCUGGUCCACACCUGACGUUGAGGUGCGAAAGCGUGGGUAGCAAACA